CAGUCGAGCGGACAGAAGGGAGCUUGCUCCCGGAUGUUAGCGGCGGACGGGUGAGUAACACGUGGGUAACCUGCCUGUAAGACUGGGAUAACUCCGGGAAACCGGAGCUAAUACCGGAUAGUUCCUUGAACCGCAUGGUUCAAGGAUGAAAGACGGUUUCGGCUGUCACUUACAGAUGGACCCGCGGCGCAUUAGCUAGUUGGUGAGGUAACGGCUCACCAAGGCGACGAUGCGUAGCCGACCUGAGAGGGUGAUCGGCCACACUGGGACUGAGACACGGCCCAGACUCCUACGGGAGGCAGCAGUAGGGAAUCUUCCGCAAUGGACGAAAGUCUGACGGAGCAACGCCGCGUGAGUGAUGAAGGUUUUCGGAUCGUAAAGCUCUGUUGUUAGGGAAGAACAAGUGCAAGAGUAACUGCUUGCACCUUGACGGUACCUAACCAGAAAGCCACGGCUAACUACGUGCCAGCAGCCGCGGUAAUACGUAGGUGGCAAGCGUUGUCCGGAAUUAUUGGGCGUAAAGGGCUCGCAGGCGGUUUCUUAAGUCUGAUGUGAAAGCCCCCGGCUCAACCGGGGAGGGUCAUUGGAAACUGGGAAACUUGAGUGCAGAAGAGGAGAGUGGAAUUCCACGUGUAGCGGUGAAAUGCGUAGAGAUGUGGAGGAACACCAGUGGCGAAGGCGACUCUCUGGUCUGUAACUGACGCUGAGGAGCGAAAGCGUGGGGAGCGAACAGGAUUAGAUACCCUGGUAGUCCACGCCGUAAACGAUGAGUGCUAAGUGUUAGGAGGUUUCCGCCCCUUAGUGCUGCAGCUAACGCAUUAAGCACUCCGCCUGGGGAGUACGGUCGCAAGACUGAAACUCAAAGGAAUUGACGGGGGCCCGCAC
RNAcentral lists this ribosomal RNA (885 nucleotides) under Bacillus sp. (in: firmicutes). Its description in RNAcentral is "bacterial SSU rRNA". It matches the Rfam family "Bacterial small subunit ribosomal RNA", at positions 59 to 926 of the family's 1533-position model. Lineage: Bacteria; Bacillati; Bacillota; Bacilli; Caryophanales; Bacillaceae. The record is from RNAcentral.